This is a non-coding RNA of Dermatophagoides pteronyssinus (European house dust mite), 80 nucleotides long. Lineage: Eukaryota; Metazoa; Arthropoda; Arachnida; Sarcoptiformes; Pyroglyphidae. The record is from the annotation of a RefSeq genome assembly.
GUCAACGUGGCCGAGUGGUCUAAGGCGCUGUGUUCAGGUCACAGUCUGAAAGGGCACGAGUUCGAAUCUCGUCGUUGACA